UACGUAGGGGGCAAGCGUUGUCCGGAAUUAUUGGGCGUAAAGAGCUCGUAGGCGGUCUGUUGCGUCGGCUGUGAAAACCCGAGGCUCAACCUCGGGCCUGCAGCCGAUACGGGCAGACUAGAGUUCGGCAGGGGAGACUGGAAUUCCUGGUGUAGCGGUGAAAUGCGCAGAUAUCAGGAGGAACACCGGUGGCGAAGGCGGGUCUCUGGGCCGAUACUGACGCUGAGGAGCGAAAGCGUGGGGAGCGAACAGG
This 253-nucleotide ribosomal RNA is filed under the name uncultured bacterium. RNAcentral's name for it is "partial 16S ribosomal RNA". It matches the Rfam family "Bacterial small subunit ribosomal RNA", at positions 524 to 776 of the family's 1533-position model. The record is from RNAcentral.